AUUGAACGCUGGCGGCAGGCCUAACACAUGCAAGUCGAGCGAGCGGCGGACGGGUGAGUAAUGUAGGGGGAUCUGCACGAUAGAGGGGGAUCACCACUGGAAACGGUGGAUAAUACCGCAUACCCUACGAUGCACCCAUAUGGGAUUAACUAGUAGGUGGGGUAAAGGCUCACCUAGGAGACGAGCUUUCGCUGGUCUGAGAGGAUGAGCAGCCAAACGGGAACUGAGACACGGCCCAGACGCCUACGUGAGGCAGCAGUGGGGAAUAUUACACAAGGGGCGCAAGCCUGAUGCAGCCAUGCCGCGUGUGUGAAGAAGGCCUUAGGGUUGCAAAGUACUUUCAGCGGGGAGGCGUUACCCGCAGAAGAAGCACCGGCUAACUCCGUGCCAGCAGCCGCGGUAAUUC
This 406-nucleotide ribosomal RNA is filed under the name uncultured bacterium. RNAcentral's name for it is "partial 16S ribosomal RNA". It matches the Rfam family "Bacterial small subunit ribosomal RNA", at positions 29 to 526 of the family's 1533-position model. The record is from RNAcentral.